UACGAAGGGGGCUAGCGUUGCUCGGAAUCACUGGGCGUAAAGCGCACGUAGGCGGCUUGUUAAGUCAGGGGUGAAAUCCUGGAGCUCAACUCCAGGACUGCCUUUGAUACUGGCGAGCUUGAGUCCGGGAGAGGUGAGUGGAACUGCGAGUGUAGAGGUGAAAUUCGUAGAUAUUCGCAAGAACACCAGUGGCGAAGGCGGCUCACUGGCCCGGUACUGACGCUGAGGUGCGAAAGCGUGGGGAGCAAACAGG
RNAcentral lists this ribosomal RNA (253 nucleotides) under uncultured bacterium. RNAcentral's name for it is "partial 16S ribosomal RNA". It matches the Rfam family "Bacterial small subunit ribosomal RNA", at positions 524 to 776 of the family's 1533-position model. The record is from RNAcentral.